AUACAUAGGGGGCAAGCGUUAUCCGGAAUUAUUGGGCGUAAAGAGUGCGUAGGCGGUUGAUUAAGUCUGGUGUAAAAUCCCACAGCUUAACUGUGGAGGGUCAUUGGAAACUGGUCGACUAGAGUACGGUAGAGGUAAGCGGAAUUCCAAGUGGAGCGGUAAAAUGCGUAGAUAUUUGGAGGAACACCGGUGGCGAAGGCGACUUACUGGGCCGGAACUGACGCUGAUGCACGAAAGCGUGGGGAGCAAACAGGAUUAGAUACCCUGGUAGUCCACGCCGUAAACUAUGAGCACUAAGUGUCGGAGUAAAAUUCGGUGCUGCAGUUAACACAAUAAGUGCUCCGCCUGGGGAGUACGGUCGCAAGACUGAA
RNAcentral lists this ribosomal RNA (371 nucleotides) under uncultured bacterium. Its description in RNAcentral is "bacterial SSU rRNA". It matches the Rfam family "Bacterial small subunit ribosomal RNA", at positions 523 to 898 of the family's 1533-position model. The record is from RNAcentral.